This 254-nucleotide ribosomal RNA is filed under the name uncultured Planctomycetales bacterium. RNAcentral's name for it is "partial 16S ribosomal RNA". It matches the Rfam family "Bacterial small subunit ribosomal RNA", at positions 575 to 828 of the family's 1533-position model. The record is from RNAcentral. Lineage: Bacteria; Pseudomonadati; Planctomycetota; Planctomycetia; Planctomycetales.
GUGGGUUUGUAAGUCGGGCGUGAAAUCCCUCGGCUUAACCGAGGAACUGCGUCCGAAACUGCAUGGCUUGAGGACGGAAGGGGAAGGUGGAAUUCCUGGUGGAGCGGUGAAAUGCGUAGAUAUCAGGAGGAACGCCGGUGGCGAAAGCGGCCUUCUGGUCCGUUUCUGACGCUGAGGUGCGAAAGCUAAGGGAGCAAACAGGAUUAGAUACCCUGGUAGUCCUAGCCGUAAACGAUGGGCACUAAGUAGAGGGG